RNAcentral lists this ribosomal RNA (443 nucleotides) under uncultured bacterium. RNAcentral describes it as "partial 16S ribosomal RNA". It matches the Rfam family "Bacterial small subunit ribosomal RNA", at positions 338 to 795 of the family's 1533-position model. The record is from RNAcentral.
CCUACGGGUGGCAGCAGUGGGGAAUAUUGGACAAUGGGGGGAACCCUGAUCCAGCGACGCCGCGUGAGUGAAGCAGUAUUUCGGUAUGUAAAGCUCUAUCAGCAGGGAAGAAAGAAAUGACGGUACCUGACUAAGAAGCCCCGGCUAACUACGUGCCAGCAGCCGCGGUAAUACGUAGGGGGCAAGCGUUAUCCGGAUUUACUGGGUGUAAAGGGAGCGUAGACGGCGAUGCAAGUCUGAAGUGAAAGGCGGGGGCCCAACCCCCGGACUGCUUUGGAAACUGUAUGGCUGGAGUGCAGGAGAGGUAAGUGGAAUUCCUAGUGUAGCGGUGAAAUGCGUAGAUAUUAGGAGGAACACCGGUGGCGAAGGCGGCCUGCUGGACUGCAACUGACGUUGAGGCCCGAAAGCGUGGGGAGCAAACAGGAUUAGAUACCCCGGUAGUC